Molecule: ribosomal RNA, 470 nt
Filed under: uncultured bacterium
Lineage: Bacteria
Description: bacterial SSU rRNA
Rfam family: Bacterial small subunit ribosomal RNA
Source: RNAcentral
GAUGAACGCUAGCGGCAGGCUUAAUACAUGCAAGUCGUGGGGCAGCAGGUCCGUAGCAAUACGGAUGCUGGCGACCGGCAAACGGGUGCGUAACACGUACGCAACCUUCCUUCAGGCGGGGAAUAGCCCGGGGAAACCCGGAUUAAUACCCCAUAAAAUCUUGAGAUGGCAUCAUCUUAUUAUUAAAGCUUCGGCACCUGAUGAUGGGCGUGCGGCUGAUUAGGUAGUUGGCGGGGUAACGGCCCACCAAGCCAGCGAUCAGUAGCUGAUGUGAGAGCAUGAUCAGCCACACGGGCACUGAGACACGGGCCCGACUCCUACGGGAGGCAGCAGUAAGGAAUAUUGGUCAAUGGACGAAAGCCUGAUCCAGCAAUGCCGCGUGAGUGAUGAAGGCCUUAGGGUUGUAAAGCUUCCUUUUACCCGGGAUGAUAAUGACAGUACCGGGAGAAUAAGCUCCGGCUAACUCCGUG